RNAcentral lists this transfer RNA (58 nucleotides) under Rattus norvegicus (Norway rat). It matches the Rfam family "tRNA". Rfam says of the family: Transfer RNA (tRNA) molecules are approximately 80 nucleotides in length. Lineage: Eukaryota; Metazoa; Chordata; Mammalia; Rodentia; Muridae. The record is from Rfam by way of RNAcentral.
GAGGAUUUAGCUCAGUGGUAGAGCGCUUGCCUAGCAAGCUGCAAGUUUCUAAACCUCU